RNAcentral lists this ribosomal RNA (253 nucleotides) under uncultured bacterium. RNAcentral's name for it is "partial 16S ribosomal RNA". It matches the Rfam family "Bacterial small subunit ribosomal RNA", at positions 524 to 776 of the family's 1533-position model. The record is from RNAcentral.
UACGAAGGGGGCUAGCGUUGCUCGGAAUCACUGGGCGUAAAGCGCACGUAGGCGGAUCUUUAAGUCAGGGGUGAAAUCCCAAGGCUCAACCUUGGAACUGCCUUUGAUACUGGGGAUCUCGAGUCCGGAAGAGGUGAGUGGAACUGCGAGUGUAGAGGUGAAAUUCGUAGAUAUUCGCAAGAACACCAGUGGCGAAGGCGGCUCACUGGACUGGUAUUGACGCUGAGGUGCGAAAGCGUGGGGAGCAAACAGG